RNAcentral lists this ribosomal RNA (443 nucleotides) under uncultured bacterium. RNAcentral's name for it is "bacterial SSU rRNA". It matches the Rfam family "Bacterial small subunit ribosomal RNA", at positions 30 to 484 of the family's 1533-position model. The record is from RNAcentral.
AUUGAACGCUGGCGGUAUGCUUAAGACAUGCAAGUCGAACGGGUAACAGGUUAAGCUGACGAGUGGCGGACGAGUGAGUAACGCGUGGGAAUCUACCUUGUAGUGGGGGAUAAGCCAGGGAAACUUGGACUAAUACCGCAUACGCCCUAAGGGGGAAAGGCGCAAGUCGCUAUAAGAUGAGCCCGCGUCUGAUUAGGUAGUUGGUGGGGUAAAGGCCCACCAAGGCGACGAUCGAUAGCUGGUCUGAGAGGAUGAUCAGCCACACUGGAACUGAGACACGGUCCAGACUCCUACGGGAGGCAGCAGUAGGGAAUAUUGGACAAUGGGGGCAACCCUGAUCCAGGCCAUGCCGCGUGAGUGAAGAAGGCCCUCGGGUUGUAAAGCUCUUUUGUCCGGAAAGAAAGCAAUCGGUUAAUACCCGGUUGUUCUGACGGUACCGGAAG